GUCCACGCUGUAAACGAUGAUCACUAGACGUUGGCUCUGUUUUAACGGGGUCAGUGUCGUAGCUAACGCGGUAAGUGAUCCGCCUGGGGACUACGGUCGCAAGAUUAAAACUCAAAGGAAUUGACGGGGCCCGCACAAGCGGUGGAACAUGUGGUUUAAUUCGACACUACGCGAGGAACCUUACCUAGGCUUGACAUGUAUUCGACAGUUGUAGAAAUACGAUCUUCUGGGCUUCGGUCCAGACGGAUACACAGGUGCUGCAUGGCUGUCGU
RNAcentral lists this ribosomal RNA (272 nucleotides) under uncultured bacterium. RNAcentral describes it as "partial 16S ribosomal RNA". It matches the Rfam family "Bacterial small subunit ribosomal RNA", at positions 793 to 1055 of the family's 1533-position model. The record is from RNAcentral.